GAUGAACGCUGGCGGCGUGCCUAAUACAUGCAAGUCGCGCGAACAGACGAGGAGUUUGCUCCUCUGACGUUAACGGCGGACGGGUGAGUAAAACGUGGAUAACCUACCUAUAAGACUGGGAUAACUUCGGGAAACCGGAGCUAAUACCGGAUAAUAUAUUGAACCGCAUGGUUCAAUAGUGAAAGAUGGCUUUGUCGCCACCUAUAGAUGCAUCCGCGCCGCAUUAGCCACUUGGACAGGUAACGGCUUACCAAGGCGACGGUGCGUACCCGACCUGAGCGGAUGAUCGACCACACUGGAACUGAGCCACGGACCAGACGCCUGCGCGAGGCGGCAGUAGAGUCGCCUCCACAAGGGGCAAGAGCGUGACAGAGCAACCCCCCGUGGUGGAUGAUGUGCUUCCGAUCGUAAAACGCUGUUAUUAGGGAAGAGCAAAUGUGUAAGUAGCUAUGCACGCCUUGACGAUAACGAGUCAGAAAGCCACCGCUAACUACGGG
RNAcentral lists this ribosomal RNA (497 nucleotides) under uncultured bacterium. RNAcentral's name for it is "partial 16S ribosomal RNA". It matches the Rfam family "Bacterial small subunit ribosomal RNA", at positions 28 to 507 of the family's 1533-position model. The record is from RNAcentral.